Molecule: ribosomal RNA, 253 nt
Filed under: uncultured bacterium
Lineage: Bacteria
Description: partial 16S ribosomal RNA
Rfam family: Bacterial small subunit ribosomal RNA
Source: RNAcentral
UACGGAGGGUGCGAGCGUUGUUCGGAAUUACUGGGCGUAAAGCGCGUGUAGGCGGCCUUCUAAGUCUGGUGUGAAAGCCCGGGGCUCACCCCCGGAAGUGCAUUGGAUACUGGGAGGCUGGAGUACCGGAGAGGAGGGUGGAAUUCCUGGUGUAGCGGUGAAAUGCGUAGAUAUCAGGAGGAACACCGGUGGCGAAGGCGGCCCUCUGGACGGAUACUGACGCUGAGACGCGAAAGCGUGGGGAGCAAGCAGG